This 292-nucleotide ribosomal RNA is filed under the name uncultured bacterium. Its description in RNAcentral is "partial 16S ribosomal RNA". It matches the Rfam family "Bacterial small subunit ribosomal RNA", at positions 505 to 796 of the family's 1533-position model. The record is from RNAcentral.
GUGUCAGCCGCCGCGGUAAGACGAACCGUGCGAACGUUGUUCGGAAUCACUGGGCUUAAAGGGCGCGUAGGCGGGCUGACAAGUCUGGGGUGAAAUGCCGCGGCUCAACCGUGGAACUGCCUCAGAUACUGUCGGCCUCGAGGGAGGUAGGGGCGUGCGGAACUGUAGGUGGAGCGGUGAAAUGCGUUGAUAUCUACAGGAACUCCGGUGGCGAAAGCGGCGCGCUGGACCUCUUCUGACGCUGAGGCGCGAAAGCUAGGGGAGCAAACGGGAUUAGAAACCCCUGUAGUCC